GACGAGCGCUGGCGGCGUGCUUAACACAUGCAAGUCGAACGGUGAAGCUCCAGCUUGCUGGAGUGGAUCAGUGGCGAACGGGUGAGUAACACGUGAGCAACCUGCCCCUGACUCUGGAAUAAGCGCUGGAAACGGCGUCUAAUACUGGAUACGAGAAGGGUCCGCAUGGGCACUUUCUGGAAAGUUUUUCGGUUGGGGAUGGGCUCGCGGCCUAUCAGCUUGUUGGUGAGGUAAUGGCUCACCAAGGCGACGACGGGUAGCCGGCCUGAGAGGGCGACCGGCCACACUGGGACUGAGACACGGCCCAGACUCCUACGGGAGGCAGCAGUGGGGAAUAUUGCACAAUGGGCGAAAGCCUGAUGCAGCGACGCCGCGUGAGGGAUGACGGCCUUCGGGUUGUAAACCUCUUUCAGCAGGGAAGAAGCGAAAGUGACGGUACCUGCAGAAGAAGCACCGGCUAACUACGUG
RNAcentral lists this ribosomal RNA (468 nucleotides) under uncultured bacterium. RNAcentral's name for it is "partial 16S ribosomal RNA". It matches the Rfam family "Bacterial small subunit ribosomal RNA", at positions 28 to 507 of the family's 1533-position model. The record is from RNAcentral.